UAACUCUUGGAGGUGUACAUCAUUAUACACGAGGGCUUUACAUAGGGUCAAGGCAUCCCAUUUAGUAAAUCCAUCCAAUCAUAUCCGAUGGUUAAUCUAACCAUACCUGUCCAAAACCAAGAAAGUUAACAAAGGCAAUGUUUCUCAUAUACAAAUACUAAGUAAUAUAGGUAAAAGUAGUCAACUACUAUAAUAGAGACAACAAAAGUAGUUUUGUAUAUUUACCUACGUCCACGUACAUAUGAUGAUCUAGGACGAAUGGAAGGACUAGUUAUCCGAAACCUAAAAAACAAACCCCGGGUAAUGUCUCAUCUAGUGGCCGCC
Molecule: long non-coding RNA, 324 nt
Filed under: Actinidia chinensis (golden kiwifruit)
Lineage: Eukaryota; Viridiplantae; Streptophyta; Magnoliopsida; Ericales; Actinidiaceae
Description: long non-coding RNA (ACHI_LNC000652)
Source: RNAcentral